UGGGGAAUUUUGGACAAUGGGCGCAAGCCUGAUGACGCAACGCCGCGUGGGGGAUGAAGGUCUUCGGAUCGUAAACCCCUGUCGAAUGGGACGAAAGACUCGCGAGUGAAUACUUCGCGAGAGUGACGGUACCGUUAAAGGAAGCCACGGCUAACUCUGUGCCAGCAGCCGCGGUAAUACAGAGGUGGCAAGCGUUGUUCGGAAUUACUGGGCGUAAAGGGCGCGUAGGCGGCCCUCUAAGUCAGACGUGAAAUCCCCGGCUUAACCUGGGAACUGCGUCUGAUACUGGAGGGCUUGAGUAUGGGAGAGGGGUGUAGAAUUCCAGGUGUAGCGGUGAAAUGCGUAGAUAUCUGGAGGAAUACCGGUGGCGAAGGCGGCAUCCUGGACCAUUACUGACGCUGAGGCGCGAAAGCUAGGGGAGCAAACGGGAUUAGAUACCCCUGUAGUCCCUGAGCGGGCUGGCAAGGCGCAU
RNAcentral lists this ribosomal RNA (472 nucleotides) under uncultured bacterium. Its description in RNAcentral is "bacterial SSU rRNA". It matches the Rfam family "Bacterial small subunit ribosomal RNA", at positions 355 to 825 of the family's 1533-position model. The record is from RNAcentral.